CCGACACCUGAUCCCAAGAGGUUCCACUUCUCACAGCAGUUAAACAGAAGUACUGACAACAGAUCUCUCAUUUGGAGGCUUGGGCUGUGACUCUCAAAUUAAAUUUGUAGGUGUUACAUUU
RNAcentral lists this small nucleolar RNA (121 nucleotides) under Sorex araneus (European shrew). RNAcentral describes it as "Small nucleolar RNA SNORA68 (ENSSARG00000019176.1)". It matches the Rfam family "Small nucleolar RNA SNORA68". Rfam says of the family: U68 is a member of the H/ACA class of small nucleolar RNAs (snoRNAs) which act as guides in the the modification of uridines to pseudouridines. Lineage: Eukaryota; Metazoa; Chordata; Mammalia; Eulipotyphla; Soricidae. The record is from RNAcentral.